GGGGUUAUGGUGUAACCUGGCAGCACGUUAGGCUCCAGACCUAACAGUCUGGGUUCAAAUCCCAGUGACCCCACCA
Molecule: transfer RNA, 76 nt
Filed under: Microcaldota archaeon
Lineage: Archaea; Nanobdellati; Microcaldota
Description: tRNA-Trp
Rfam family: tRNA
About the family: Transfer RNA (tRNA) molecules are approximately 80 nucleotides in length.
Source: RNAcentral